AUUCAAAUAGCUUAUAAUUUAGAGCGUAGCCUUGAAGAUGCUAAAGAGAUUUAUUAAUCUUUGAAUA
This 67-nucleotide transfer RNA is filed under the name Simulium jisigouense. RNAcentral describes it as "tRNA-Phe". Lineage: Eukaryota; Metazoa; Arthropoda; Insecta; Diptera; Simuliidae. The record is from RNAcentral.